AGACAGAACCGUUGAGUGUUUAAUAAAAAAAGUAAACUUAUAACGUUCUGGUCAAUAGGUAAAUACCAGUUAACAAUGGAACUAGUAUUUAAGGAAAAUAUGCAAAAGGAGCAGUCCAGGAAUCUGACAGACCUGCACCUGACGGAGGCGAUGAGACGAAUGAUCAAAUAGGUCAAACAUCGUACAAUGAAAUCAGGUCCAUCCAUACAUAUGUGGCUCAGGAGGUUGGUUCUAGUGAUGACUUUCAAGUCGACAUAA
This is a long non-coding RNA of Dreissena polymorpha, 258 nucleotides long. RefSeq lists it as uncharacterized. The transcript is spliced from 4 exons. NCBI's taxonomy places the organism in Eukaryota, Metazoa, Mollusca, Bivalvia, Myida, Dreissenidae. The record is from RefSeq and is a predicted model, not a curated record.